GUCGGAGCCUGAGGAAACGAUCACGCAGACCUCCCACACUUCCACCCCUCGAAUUCUAGAGUGAGAAAAAUGCAAUGAAGUUGGUCAUUGUAUCACAUCAUAACGUUUGGAUCAAGGCCGGCAGAUUUGACCUCCACUUUCAACUUCAAGCAGAGCCAGACAUGGGCCGCGCAGGCUGAUGAGCGAGCCAGCUCUGAAUUUCAUCAAGGUGAGG
Long non-coding RNA from Artibeus jamaicensis (Jamaican fruit-eating bat), 214 nucleotides. RefSeq lists it as uncharacterized. The transcript has 3 exons. Lineage: Eukaryota; Metazoa; Chordata; Mammalia; Chiroptera; Phyllostomidae. The record is from RefSeq and is a predicted model, not a curated record.